CGGAUUGUAGACCCUGUAGCUGCUAAGGGGCGCAGUUCAUAAUCCACCCCUUAUCUGCUACACUGUCUGUAAUCUGGA
This 78-nucleotide microRNA precursor is filed under the name Danaus plexippus plexippus. RNAcentral describes it as "mir-2756 microRNA precursor family". It matches the Rfam family "mir-2756 microRNA precursor family". Lineage: Eukaryota; Metazoa; Arthropoda; Insecta; Lepidoptera; Nymphalidae. The record is from Rfam by way of RNAcentral.